AAAACUCAAAGGCGUAAUGAAAGUAAAUAGUGGAAUACUGAUUUUAUUGAAUUUAUUCUAUUUAAUCAGUUUCCCUAUAGGGAGGAUGGAAUAUUUGUCAGUAAUCAUUUUAUUAGUUUUUAACUAAUUUUAUUAUUGUUCAAGGUUUCCCGCACUCCCGGGGCGCUUGUUUCUCGCUUUGCGAGUCAGUGCGCACCUAGAGCGUACACGAUGAUACCCGAAAGAUGGUGAACUAUGCCUGGCCAGGACGAAGCCAGGGGAAACCCUGGUGGAGGUCCGCAGCGAUUCUGACGUGCAAAUCGAUCGUCGGAGCUGGGUAUAGGGGCGAAAGACCAAUCGAACCAUCUAGUAGCUGGUUCCCUCUGAAGUUUCCCUCAGGAUAGCUUGCGCUCAAGUGAAAAGAGUCUCAUCCGGUAGAGCGAAUGAUUAGAGGCAUUGGGGUCGAAACGACCUCAACCUAUUCUCAAACUCCAAAUAGAUGAGACCCCCGGCUUUCUUAAAAAUGAAGCCGUGGGAAUUGGAUCAGAGUGCCAAGUGGGCCAAU
This 544-nucleotide ribosomal RNA is filed under the name Ghilianella pachitea. RNAcentral describes it as "partial large subunit ribosomal RNA". It matches the Rfam family "Eukaryotic large subunit ribosomal RNA", at positions 703 to 1135 of the family's 3401-position model. Lineage: Eukaryota; Metazoa; Arthropoda; Insecta; Hemiptera; Reduviidae. The record is from RNAcentral.